GGCCACGUGCGCAGAGCGAGCGCCUGCUGCCUCCCCGCCCCUCCCGCAACACUCGACCCCAGGAUUCCCCCGGCUCGUCUGCCCGCCAUGGCCGACAUGGAAGCAGCGUUCGACGACGCAGUGGAAGAACGAGUGAUCAACGAGGAAUACAAAAUAUGGAAACAGAACACCCCUUUUCUUUAUGAUUUGGUGAUGACCCAUGCUCUGGAGUGGCGCAGCCUAACUGCCCAGUGGCUUCCAGAUGUCACCAGACCAGAAAGGGAAAGAUUUUAGCAUUCAUGGACUUGUCCUGGGGACACACACAUGGGAUGAACAAAACCAUCUUGUUAUAGCCAGUGUGCAACUCCCUAAUGAUGAUGCUCAGUUUGAUGUGUCGCACUACGACAGUGAGAAAGGAGAAUUUGGAGGUUUUGGUUCAGUUAGUGGAAAAAUUGAAAUAGAAAUCAAGAUCAACCAUGAAGGAGAAGUAAACAGGGCCCGUUAUAUGCCCCAGAACCCUUGUAUCAUCGCAACAAAGACUCCUUCCAGUGAUGUUCUUGUCUUUGACUAUACAAAACAUCCUUCUAAACCAGAUCCUUCUGGAGAGUGCAACCCAGACUUGCAUCUCCGUGGACAUCAAAAGGAAGGCUAUGGGCUUUCUUGGAACCCAAAUCUCAGUGGGCACUUACUCAGUGCUUCCGAUGACCACACCAUCUGCCUGUGGGACAUCAGUGCCGUUCCAAAGGAGGGAAAAGUGGUGGAUGCGAAGACCAUCUUUACAGGGCAUACAGCAGUAGUAGAAGAUGUUUCCUGGCAUCUGCUCCAUGAGUCUCUGUUUGGGUCAGUUGCUGAUGAUCAGAAACUUAUGAUUUGGGAUACUCGUUCAAACAGUACUUCCAAACCAAGCCACUCAGUUGACGCUCACAAUGCUGAAGUGAACUGCCUUUCUUUCAAUCCUUUUAGUGAGUUCAUUCUUGCCACAGGAUCAGCUGACAAGACUGUUGCCUUGUGGGAUCUGAGAAAUCUGAAACUUAAGUUGCAUUCCUUUGAGUCACAUAAGGAUGAAAUAUUCCAGGUUCAGUGGUCACCUCACAAUGAGACUAUUUUGGCUUCCAGUGGUACUGAUCGCAGACUGAAUGUCUGGGAUUUAAGUAAAAUUGGAGAGGAACAAUCCCCAGAAGAUGCAGAAGACGGGCCACCAGAGUUGUUGUUUAUUCAUGGUGGUCACACUGCCAAGAUAUCUGAUUUCUCCUGGAAUCCCAAUGAACCUUAGGUGAUUUGUUCUGUAUCAGAAGACAAUAUCAUGCAAGUAUGGCAAAUGGCAGAGAACAUUUAUAAUGAUGAAGACCCUGAAGGAAGUGUGGAUCCAGAAGGACAAGGAUCCUACAUAUGUCUUUACUUCCUGUGAUUUUAGACUCCCCUUUUUUCUUCUCAACCCUGAGAGUGAUUUAACACUGGUUUUGAGACAGACUUUGUUCAACUAUCCCUCUAUAUAAUAGGUACCACCAAUAAUGCUAUUAGCCCAAACAGUGGGUGUUUUCUAAAUAUUAAUGGGGGGGCUUCAUUCAGCAAAGCCACAGACUUACGUUGAAAUUUUCUUCAGGAAUUUUCUAGUAACCCAGGUCUAAAGUAGCUACAGAAGGGGGACUAUUAUGUGUGAUUAUUUUUCUUCUUAUGCCAUAUAUCCCCAAGUUUUUCAGACUCAUUUAAGUAAAGGCUAGAGUGAGUAAGGAAUAGAGCCAAAUGAGGUAGGUGUCUGAGCCAUGAAGUAUAAAUACUGAAAGAUGUCACUUUUAUUCAGGAAAUAGGGGAGAUUCAAGUCAUAUAGAUUCCUACUCGAAAAUCUUGACAUCUGACUUUCCAGGAUGCACAUUUUCAUAUGUAGACCAGUUUCCUCUUGGUUUCCUCAGUUAAGUCAAAACUACAUGUUCCUCUUUCCCCAUAUAUUCAUAUAUUUUUGCUCGUUAGUGUAUUUCUUGAGCUGUUUUCAUGUUGUUUCUUUCCUGUCUGUGAAAUGGUGUGUUUUUUUUUGUUGUUGUUGUUUUUAACUUGGGACCACCAAGUUGUAAAGAUGUAUAUUUUUACCAGACAGUUACACCACAGGCAGACUGUCAAGUUGAGAAGAGUGAAUCAAUAACUUGUAUUUGUUUUAAAAAUUAAAUUAAUCCUUGAUAAGAGUUGCUUUUUUUAGGAGUUAGUCCUUGACCACUAGUUUGAUGCCAUCUCCAUUUUGGGUGACCUGUUUCACCAGCAGGCCUGUUACUCUCCAUGACUAACUGUGUAAGUGCUUAAAAUGGAAUAAAUUGCUUUUCUACAUAAAAAAAAA
Mandrillus leucophaeus (drill) is the source of this 2305-nucleotide RNA transcript. It is a transcript of the gene named histone-binding protein RBBP4 pseudogene, with no coding region annotated. The transcript has a single exon. The record is from RefSeq and is a predicted model, not a curated record. Lineage: Eukaryota; Metazoa; Chordata; Mammalia; Primates; Cercopithecidae.